AUUGAACGCUGGCGGCAGGCCUAACACAUGCAAGUCGAGCGGAUGAAGGGAGCUUGCUCCUGGCUUCAGCGGCGGACGGGUGAGUAAUGCCUAGGAAUCUGCCUGGUAGUGGGGGAUAACGUCCGGAAACGGGCGCUAAUACCGCAUACGUCCUGAGGGAGAAAGUGGGGGAUCUUCGGACCUCACGCUAUCAGAUGAGCCUAGGUCGGAUUAGCUAGUUGGUGGGGUAAAGGCUUACCAAGGCGACGAUCCGUAACUGGUCUGAGAGGAUGAUCAGUCACACUGGAACUGAGACACGGUCCAGACUCCUACGGGAGGCAGCAGUAGGGAAUAUUGGACAAUGGGCGAAAGCCUGAUCCAGCCAUGCCGCGUGUGUGAAGAAGGUCUUCGGAUUGUAAAGCACUUUUAGUUGGGGGGAAGGGCAGUAAGUGAAUACCUUGCUGUUUUGACGUUACCAACAGAAUAAGCACCGGCUAACUUCGUG
This 484-nucleotide ribosomal RNA is filed under the name uncultured bacterium. RNAcentral describes it as "partial 16S ribosomal RNA". It matches the Rfam family "Bacterial small subunit ribosomal RNA", at positions 30 to 507 of the family's 1533-position model. The record is from RNAcentral.